Molecule: long non-coding RNA, 373 nt
Filed under: Equus asinus (donkey)
Lineage: Eukaryota; Metazoa; Chordata; Mammalia; Perissodactyla; Equidae
Description: lncRNA (ENSEASG00005030873.1)
Source: RNAcentral
AGGUAUUAAGAAUCUACUCUGGGGGCUGGCCUGGUGGUGCAGUGGUUAAGUGCACACAUUCCGCUUCGGCGGCCCGGGGUUUGCUGGUUUGGAUCCCAGGUGCGGACAUGGCACCACUUGGCAAGCCAUGCUGUGAGACAAGUCACAGAACCCAGUCCUCACUCACUGGAAGAGGAGAGAUGACACAUGAAUACCAGGGGAGAGGAAUCAACGGGGCCGUCAGAAGUGAGGCCGUCUACCACAGGGGGCUGUGAUUUUUAGGCGUGGAGGAAUUGCCAAAGACUACACAUGGAUGAGAAAUGAUUUGUCCAGAUGCAGCUGGGACAUUUGAGAUAUGCCUUGAUCCACCCUUGGCCAGGUGGACCGUUGUAAG